GAGUUUGAUCCUGGCUCAGGACGAACGCUGGCGGCGUGCUUAACACAUGCAAGUCGAGCGGUAAGGCCCUUCGGGGUACACGAGCGGCGAACGGGUGAGUAACACGUGGGUGAUCUGCCUUGCACUCUGGGAUAAGCCUGGGAAACUGGGUCUAAUACCGGAUAUGACCUUCGGUUGCAUGACCGGGGGUGGAAAGAUUUAUCGGUGCAAGAUGAGCCCGCGGCCUAUCAGCUUGUUGGUGGGGUAAUGGCCUACCAAGGCGACGACGGGUAGCCGGCCUGAGAGGGCGACCGGCCACACUGGGACUGAGACACGGCCCAGACUCCUACGGGAGGCAGCAGUGGGGAAUAUUGCACAAUGGGCGGAAGCCUGAUGCAGCGACGCCGCGUGAGGGAUGACGGCCUUCGGGUUGUAAACCUCUUUCGACUCCGACGAAGCGAGAGUGACGGUAGGAGUAUAAGAAGCACCGGCCAACUACGUGCCAGCAGCCGCGGUA
This 496-nucleotide ribosomal RNA is filed under the name Nocardia sp. BAMY 12. RNAcentral's name for it is "bacterial SSU rRNA". It matches the Rfam family "Bacterial small subunit ribosomal RNA", at positions 9 to 522 of the family's 1533-position model. The record is from RNAcentral. Lineage: Bacteria; Bacillati; Actinomycetota; Actinomycetes; Mycobacteriales; Nocardiaceae.